AAACAAACAUGGAUAGCCCCAGUAACGGCGAGUGAAGCGGCUACAGCUCAAAUUUGAAAUCUGGCUCCUUCGGGGUCCGAGUUGUAAUUUGCAGAGGAUGCUUCGGCAUUGGCGGCGGUCUAAGUUCCCUGGAACAGGACAUCGCAGAGGGUGAGAAUCCCGUACGUGGGCGCCUGCCUUUGCCGUGUGAAGCUCCUUCGACGAGUCGAGUUGUUUGGGAAUGCAGCUCUAAAUGGGAGGUAAAUUUCUUCUAAAGCUAAAUAUUGGCCAGAGACCGAUAGCGCACAAGUAGAGUGAUCGAAAGAUGAAAAGUACUUUGGAAAGAGAGUCAAACAGCACGUGAAAUUGUUGAAAGGGAAGCGCUUGCAGCCAGACGUGCCCGCAGUUGCUCACCCAGGCUCCGGCCCGGGGCACUCUUCUGCGGGCAGGCCAGCAUCGGUUCGGGCGGUCGGACAAAGGCCUCUGUCAAGUACCUUCCUUCGGGUUGGCCUUAUAGGGGAGGCGCAAUGCGACCAGCCCGGACCGAGGUCCGCGCAUCUGCUAGGAUGCUGGCGUAAUGGCUGUAAGCGGC
This 571-nucleotide ribosomal RNA is filed under the name Pleosporales sp. IOC-1591. RNAcentral's name for it is "eukaryotic LSU rRNA". It matches the Rfam family "Eukaryotic large subunit ribosomal RNA", at positions 62 to 648 of the family's 3401-position model. Lineage: Eukaryota; Fungi; Ascomycota; Dothideomycetes; Pleosporales. The record is from RNAcentral.